This 6246-nucleotide long non-coding RNA is filed under the name Homo sapiens (human). RNAcentral's name for it is "HSALNT0366716". Lineage: Eukaryota; Metazoa; Chordata; Mammalia; Primates; Hominidae. The record is from RNAcentral.
GCCCACUGCAGCUCCUUGGUAUGCUGAGCGCCAGUCCCCUGGGCCCACUGUUGUUUCUCUAUACUUUGUCUCUGUCUUAUUUCUUUUCUCAGUCUCUCGUCCCACCCGACUAGAAAUACAGGUGUGGAGGGGCAGGCCACCCCUUCAAGUGAGAAGAAAGAUUUAUAAUCUAAGCUAUGUUGUUUGAUAGUACCAUGUAGUCAGUAAAAAGCCUUUGAGGGGUUUUAAGGAAGAGGUUAACAAGGCAGGGUUUCCAUGCUUUGAGCAGACAAUGUGACCUACUCAGAAGAUAAUGAAUUUGAUAUUAAUGGGGCUAGAACAGGCACAAAUGGUUAAGGGCCACAUGCCAUAGAAGCAAAUGAUGUUUUUACGUGGAACUGUGAUAUUAACAAAGAAAACUAUUUCUCAGUGGAAAUACCAAUCUCUACCAGAAAGGAGAACUAAUUACUGACAAUGCUACACUAGAACAGAUUUAGAAUGUAAUGUUGGUUUCCUUCUCUGAGGAAGUGGGGUGUAUCUAAAUGGCUGUUAUUGUUAUAUAGCAACAUUGUGGUUGCUGCAUAGUAACCUUGUGUGUUUAUUACCAAUUUAUUGCCUCUUAGUUUCAAAUCUAUCCUUCACCAUCCUGCUCUACCAUAAUGAAAGCAGAGCCCAUAAAAUUUCUCCCUUGCCAGCUUAUAUGAUAAAUUUUGUCCCUAAAAGGCAGUGUGUAGUCUGGAGGAAAAAGGGUUUUUCUUCCUGGUUUUAUGAUACUUUCUCUCCUUUUGCUCCUAUGACUGUGGCUACCAGCUGCAUGUUUGCAUAACAUCCUGCGGUAUUUACCCUCCAGCAAGUUUUUGUUAGCUGUCCGGAUCCCUGUUACAUGCCUUCCGGUAUCUAGCUCCAGCACUCUGGAAUGAAAACUCUUCCUCCUGGCCAGUCACAGCGUGAGAUCCAUCCUCGCCAAUUUCAACUUGCUAGUUUUAGAACUGCCCUGUCCUAGGGCCACCCACAAUUGUUGAAUUGUCAUUUUAAACACCUUCAAAGACUAGAAGAAAUUAAUUCAUCGUGGAAAUAUUCAUUUUAUUCAGCACUUAGAAAUAACAGUUCUUGAUAAUAUUAUGAUUUAUAAUUUAUACAUGGUGUAUUUUAAUGAAUUGCAGGUGUUUAAGAAAUAAGUAACAUAGCAGGGCGCGGUGGCUCAUGCCUGUAAUCCCUCACGCCUACAAUCCCUCACGCCUGUAAUCUCAGCAGUUUGGGAGGCCGAGGUGGACAGAUUGCUUGCGGUAAGGAGUUUGAGACCAGCGUAGCCAACAUGGCGAAACCCCAUCUCUACGAAAAAUUAGCCAGGCAUGGUGGUGAGUGCCUGUAGUCCCAGCUACUUCGGAGGUGGAGGCCGAAGAAUUGCUUGAGCCUGGAAGGCUGAGAUCUCAGUGAGCCGAGACUGCCACUGCACGGGUGACAGAGCGAGCCUCUGUCUCAAAGAAAGAAAGAGUAUGUACCUGGAUAUGUAUUUUUAAAAUAAUGUAAAGAUUUAAAAAUAGUUCGAAGAACCUAAUUGUAUGGCUUUUGAAGCAACUAGAAGUAUGUUCUUUACAGAUGGUGGGAGUAAUGUUAUAUUAAGUUUGUGUAAGCUAUAACACUUAAGUGUUUAUAAGCAUGUUUAUAAGCUGGUGUUUACAAGCAUGUUUUUAUUUCCGAACAAAAUUCAAAAGAAGUUUGUCUUUGUAAAAAUUCAGAUGUGCACAGUUCUUGUUCCUCUCUGAAGAUAUUGGAAAUGUAUUGCUAAUACUGGUAAUAUAUAACAAUUUUUUUAUGAAUAGAUGACUUAUUUAAUAGUUACGUAUCUAAAUCUGAAUAUUUUCUAUAUAAUUUGUCUAUGGAAACAAAUAUUUAUACAAUUGUUCACAUAUUGCUCUUUUCUUUGUAAUGUUAUUCCUUCUAGGUAUAAAAUAUAGACGUUCUCAAGAAGAUUAGUGUUUGCAAUAGAAAGCUGGGCCAUUUGGCCACACCUGCAAAUGAUUAUUGGUUUUGCGGGAGACUGCAAUCCAUAAAAAAUUACUGGCAGAGUUUGAGAAUUUGUAUAAGAAAACAAAUUUUAUGAGAUGCAAAAUCAAUACUAUUAUACUAAUUUAAAUUUUGUAAUAGCAAAGCUAAUUCUUGUUACUUUUCAGUCUUUCAAUUCACUAAGAUAAUGAGUGUUACGCACUGAACACAUACAAAUGUAUUGCUGUGACUGAAUGAAGAGGACAAAUUAACAAAGCAAUUCCGAGGCCCUGGAAAUUGAUCAAAGGCUAAUAAUCAUUUGUGAACUAUUUAUUCUUGGAAAAACUGCUAGAGAUUCAAGGAAGAGUGCAGCAAAUUUGUAGUAAGUUUACCUAGUGCUGCUCCCGUGCCUUCUGCCCACCCACCACACCCAGCACAGUGAGUAACAGUUGCAGUUUUUACAGCUGGGGGAAAAUCAACAGUGUUUUUUGCCACAAGGACAGACUUGAUUAGCGGUCAGAGGUUGGGGCAUAGUGUAACAGACCACUGCUUUUCAACUGAAAGUGCUGAAUUUUGCAGGAAAUGAAUGAGAAAACCCCAUUUUUUGUUGUUUUUUAUUUUUUUUAGUCUGAGGUGUAGUCUCCUCUGGGGCAAGAACAGUGCCAGCCAUAAAUAUAACAAAAUCCUAAACAUGAGAGUGCAAUAGACCUCAUGACAUUAGCCCUCUACAUAUUCUUUAAAUUUUUUUUUAAAUUGACACAUUGUAAUUGUACAUAUUUAUGGGGUACAACUUGAUGUUCAAUACAUAUAUAUGUUACAUUAAAUAAUCAAAUCAGGGUAUUUAGUGUAUCUGUCUACCUCAUGUAUUUAUCAUUUCUUUGUGGUGAGAACGUUCAAAAGCCUCUGUUCUAGCUAUUUUGUAAUAUGCAAUAUCUUACUGUUAACCAUCAUCACCCUACUAUGCAAUAGAACAGAACUUAUUCCUCCUACCUAACUAUAACUUUGUACCCAUUGACCAAGCUCUCACCCUGUCCCCCUCUUUUUCUCUCCUCCAGUCUCUGUUGACCACUGUUCUGGUGUUUUUCUGGUGAUCGCUCUGCUUCUAUAAUAUCAGCUCUUUUUUGCUUUAUUUCUACAUGAGUGAGAUUAUGUGAUAUUUGUCUUUCUGUAUCUGCCUUAUUUCACUUAACAUGAUGCUCAGCAGGUUCAUCCAUGUUGUAUAAAUGACAGGAUUUUAUUCUUGAUUAUUGAAAAAAAUAUGCAUAUGUGUAGAGGAGACCAGGGUGAUUCCAGUAAAAAGUAAAAGCCCAAGGAGACUUGAGAACUGAUUGCAAAUUUAUGAACACUUCCUUCACCACACACACACACACACACACACACACACACCGCUAGCACAGAGUGGAGCCUCUACUAACUUAAGGUUUUCGAAUAAACCUUUUAAAAUAAUAUAUUGGCUGACAACCAAGCUAUGCAAUUCACAAGGGCAAUCCCUAGGAAAUGGGGCUAAAAAAUAAAAAUAAAAAAUUAGAAUUUGAAACAAAAACAUCAGCAAAUGCAUUUUAAAGGAGAAAGAUUCUGCAGUAAAAUUUUAUGUAAGUUACCCCCCCAAAAUCUUUAUAAACCCCCCAAAUUUAUUUGUAUGAUACUAUAUUAUAAAAAAUGUCUAUUAUAAGAAAUUAGAAAACAUGCAGAAACUGGAAAAUGUCUUCCAUACUUGGAGGGAAAGACAAUCAGUCAAUAAAAUCUGACUUUUUCUGGGACAAGAUGGUAGAUUUAUCAGAAAAUAUAUUUUAAAGUAACUAUUAUAAAUGUACUUAAAUUAUACAGAAAAGUAUGUUCAAUUAAUUAAAUGAAAAUAUGAUGGCAAUGAGAAAACAAGUAGGAAAUUUUGUCAGAGAAAUGAAAACCAAGAAAUAAACCAAAUUCUGAGUUGAGAAGUACAUUACUUGAAACGAAAAAUUCACUAAAUUGGCUAGAAAAAAAAUUGAGAUUCAAAAGGAAGAAUUCAUCAACUUUGGGAUAUAUUAAUAGAAAUUAUUCAUCCCAGAGAAAAAGAGAAUACAGAAAGAUGUAGAAAAAUAAUAUUAAGACAAAACUGACUUAAAAACUUUUCAAAUUUGCUUUUUUAAAAAUGUAUACAUCCAAGAUGCUAAGCAAACUAAUGACUAAUAGAAUCAGCAUGUAGAAAUCCCCAUCUCAAAACAUCAUAAUCAAAUGAUUGAAGAGGAUUUUAAGACAAAGACCCUGAGAUAAUCUUGUGGAACAGGUAGGACGGAUUAUGAGAUGACUUGAGUCUGUGUGAAUGCCAGGGAAUGGUUGAGGUAUCCCCCACCAGCAGGAGUAUUUUGACCACAUUACCUUCCAGAGAACCCACAUUUGCCCUGAAUACUAUUCUAGAUUGGAAGGAGGCAACAUCAACAAGAUAGAGGAAUAGCAUACCCCAGCACUUGCUCCCCAUAGAAACAACAACUUAAUACAUCCAGAAAUAAACGUCGGUACAUAUGGACUAGUGAUUUUCAAUAAGAGUGCCAAGACCAUUCAAUGGGAAAAGGGCAGUAUCUUCCAGAAAUAGUGUUGAGAAAACUGGCUAAACAUAUGCAAAAGAGUGAAAUCAAAGCCUUACAUUACACCAUCUACAAAUAUUAACUCAUAAUGUAUUGAAGACUUAAUGAUAAGAUCCAAAACUGUAAAACUUCUAGAAGAAAACAUGUGAGGAAAGCUUCAUGAAAUUGGAUUUAGCAAUCAUUUCUUGAUAAAACACCCAAAUCACAGCCAACAAAAGCAAAAAAUAGGCAAAUGGGAUUACAUCAGACUUAAAAAUGUCUGCAGAGCAAAUGAUUGAAGCAACAAAAUCAUGUAUCUAAUAAGGGAUUAAUAUCCAGAAUAUAUUAAGAACUUAUGUAAUCCAAUGACAAAAACCCUAAUAACCCUAUUUAAAAAUGGACAAAGGAUUCAAAUAGAUAUUUCUCCAAAGAAGAUAUACAAAUGUCCAAUAAGCAUAUGAAAAGAUGCUCAACAUUACUAUCAUCAGAAAAACAUAAAUCAAAACCACUGUUAAAUAUCACUUCAUACCCAUUAGCAUGGCCGCUAUGAAAAAAGCAGAAAAUAACAAUUAUUGCUUAGGUUGUGAAGAAAUUUGGGCCCUUGUGCACUGUUAAUGAAAAUGUAAAAUGGUACAGUCACUAUGGAAAACAUUAUGGAGGUUCCUCAAAAAAUUUAAAAUUGAGUUGACAUAUGAACCAACAAUCUUACUUCUGUAGAGCCAAAGGAGUUGAGAUCAGGAACUUGAACAGGUAUCGGCACUCCCAUGUUCAUUGCAACAGUUAAAACAUAGAAGCAACAUACAAGCCCAUUGAUGAAUUGGUGGAUAAAGAAAAUGUGGCAUGUGUAUAAAAUGGAAUACAAUUCUGCCAUUAAAAAGAAGAAAAAGCUAUUGCAACAACAUGGAUAAACCUGAAGGACAUUAUGCUGAGUAAAAUAAUAGUAAAUUCAUAGAAGCAGGGAGUAGAAGGGUGGUUGUCAGGGGCUGGGAGAGGGAAAAACAGGAGAGUAUUAGUCAAAGGGUACAAACUUUCAGUUAUACGAGAUGAACAAGGUCUAGAUAUCUGUUUUACUACACAGAACCUGUAGUUAAUAAUGUUGUAUACUAAAGAUUUGGCUAAGAGCGUAGAUCUUAAGUGUUUGUAUCACAAAAAAUAAUAAUAAAGAAGGUGGAAGGAAACUUCUGGAGAUUACAGAUAUGUUUAUGACACAGAUUGUGGUGGUUUCAUGGUUAUACACUUAUCUCUAAUCUUAUCAAGUUGUAUGCAUUAAAUAUGUACAGCUUUUUGUAUGUCAAUCAUACUUCAAUAAAGUUGUUUAAACAUUUUUAAAAAGGAUAAUAUACUUUAUUUUAAAAAAGGAAGUCUUGUUGCAUGCUGCAACAUGGAUAAAUCUUAAGGACAUUAUGCUAAGUUAAAUAAGCCAGUCACACAAAAAAAAUGCUGCCUGCUUUAUUUAUAUGAGAUAUCUAAAGUAUUCAAACUCAUAGAAACAGAAAGUAGAAUGCUGAUUGCUAGGGGCAAAAAGGGGAGUUGUCCAAUGUGUAUAGAGUUUCAGUUUUGCAAAAUGAACAAAUUCUAGAAAUCUGUUGUAAAAUGUGAAUAUAGUUAACACUACUGACCUGUUCACUUAAAAAUGGUUGAGAUAUAUGAUAUGGUUAAGAUGUAAUGGCUCAGAUGUAACAUACUGUAUGAGUUCAACUAUAUGACAUUCUGGAAAAGUAAACAACUAUGGAGACAG